Molecule: long non-coding RNA, 411 nt
Organism: Fukomys damarensis (Damara mole-rat)
Lineage: Eukaryota; Metazoa; Chordata; Mammalia; Rodentia; Bathyergidae
Source: Ensembl
CACUUAAUUAGUACACAGAAGGUCACACUGUUGAUCAGCUUGACUCUUGUAAGGGAGUACAAGGUGCUGAUUCCCUUCCUGGUUUUUGUCUCUUAUCAAAAUGUCAAGAGUGUCGCUGCAGCAAAAUCGGGAAAUCAGAGCCUCCAGCAGAUGGAUUAUCUUGACCAAGGUUCCUUUGUGCCCCAAUUGUGCAUCUCACCCAGCCCACCAUCCCAAUCGAUCAGGCACAGUAGACUCCAUCCAGCCAGGUGGAAGCGUAUGGCCCCAGGUCUCCAGGAACAAGACUUACCUGUUCUCUUCCCCUGAAUCUCUGUUCUCUUCCCUGCCAACUCCCCUCUGUGUCCAAACUGGGAUCACUGUCUAAGAAAUCAGCAGCCAAGUCCUUCCUGGAAUAAAAGUACUUAAGGGAAA